RNAcentral lists this ribosomal RNA (467 nucleotides) under uncultured bacterium. RNAcentral describes it as "partial 16S ribosomal RNA". It matches the Rfam family "Bacterial small subunit ribosomal RNA", at positions 28 to 507 of the family's 1533-position model. The record is from RNAcentral.
GAUGAACGCUGGCGGCGUGCUUAACACAUGCAAGUCGAACGGAAAGGCCCAAGCUUGCUUGGGUACUCGAGUGGCGAACGGGUGAGUAACACGUGGGUGAUCUGCCCUGCACUUCGGGAUAAGCCUGGGAAACUGGGUCUAAUACCGGAUAGGACCACUUCCUGGAUGUUGUGGUGGAAAGUUUUUUCGGUGUGGGAUGAGCUCGCGGCCUAUCAGCUUGUUGGGGGGGUAAUGGCCUACCAAGGCGUCGACGGGUAGCCGGCCUGAGAGGGUGUACGGCCACAUUGGGACUGAGGUGCGGCCCAGACUCCUACGGGAGGCAGCAGUGGGGAAUAUUGCACAAUGGGCGCAAGCCUGAUGCAGCGACGCCGCGUGGGGGAUGACGGCCUUCGGGUUGUAAACUCCUUUCGCUAGGGACGAAGCGUUUUGUGACGGUACCUGGAGAAGAAGCACCGGCUAACUACGUG